GCCUGGGUGGCGAAACCGGUAGACGCAGGGGACUUAAAAUCCCUAGUCCACAUGGACGUGGGGGUUCGAGUCCCCCUCCAGGUACUA
This 87-nucleotide transfer RNA is filed under the name Parcubacteria group bacterium CG10_big_fil_rev_8_21_14_0_10_36_14. Its description in RNAcentral is "tRNA-Leu". It matches the Rfam family "tRNA". Rfam says of the family: Transfer RNA (tRNA) molecules are approximately 80 nucleotides in length. Their secondary structure includes four short double-helical elements and three loops (D, anti-codon, and T loops). The record is from RNAcentral.